AGGCAGUGUAAUGUUAGCUGGCUGCAAUGUAGGAAUCAGCAGCUACAAGCACUACCACA
This 59-nucleotide microRNA precursor is filed under the name Callorhinchus milii (elephant shark). RNAcentral's name for it is "Cmi-Mir-34-P3d_pre stem-loop". Lineage: Eukaryota; Metazoa; Chordata; Chondrichthyes; Chimaeriformes; Callorhinchidae. The record is from RNAcentral.